GCGAUACGUGGAGCUGACGAAUACUAAUCGAUCGAAGACUUAAUCAAUUU
Molecule: ribosomal RNA, 50 nt
Filed under: Staphylococcus agnetis
Lineage: Bacteria; Bacillati; Bacillota; Bacilli; Caryophanales; Staphylococcaceae
Description: partial 23S ribosomal RNA
Source: RNAcentral